AUUGACACUGGCUCAACACAAGGCUGAAAUAAGAGAAGCCAUAUUGUAGAAAAGUAACCAUACUGUAACUUUGAAUGACGUAUGAUUCACUAACUCAGCUGGAUAUGCACCCUCCAGAUCCACCUGCUCUGGAGAUUUUAUGACCCCUGCUUGUGCAUGUACCUCCCAGCUGCGGUAAGACUAUAACUUCUUUCUUCUGAGUUCCUUAGGAAAGUGAUGACCCUGAACAGAGAGUCUAUGCUGAUAGCCAUCACCAAUGAAAACUGAAAGAUCUGGAGUGACGACUCCUAGGUCGCCAUUCCUAGCCCUCUCCCCUACAACCCACUGGCCUGUACAACUCCUUUAAGAUUCUGUGUUCCCCUGAAGAUGGUUCUUCUGGACAUUAGUUGGCCACCUUCCCUCUUGCUAGCAACUUGCAGUAAAAUGCCCUUUCUCUGACACCAUCUUGCCUCUUGACGAUUGGCAUUUGUCUUGUGGCGAACAGAUCACACCUUUUGUGUAGUAAUAGUAUUAAAUGACAUUUUAACAUAUCUAGACUAUGAAGAAAUCAUGUCUUUCAUAGCAAGAAAAAAAAUCUUAAGAAGAAAACUAAUAUGUAUCAUUAGUUCUUGUGGGAAUGUUAGUUCCAUUAGGAGAAGUAUAUGAAUGGUAUCCAUUAAGAGUCUAUAAUUGCAGAAAUAUGGAAAUGUGAAUAUCACAAUCCACAAUAUGAUACUACAUGCAGUCUAAUUUCAGGAUGACAAAUUGGAAAGUUGCCCCUGCGUCCACAAAUCAAAAACACCCAGAUAUUAACAUUUCAGUGUCAUUUUCUUCUUGGCAGUUUUCUAUAAAGUGAAAUAGACGAACUACAUUUUAAAAUAUACCUUAUACUUUGGGGCUCAAAAAAAGAAGCAAUUUUGAUUUUAAAUGAAAAAACGUAGCCCAUAAAAUUUAAUUUUCCAUGGGUUGGCUCUUGUGCAAAAACCUCUGGCUCCCCACUGGGUUAUGUACAAAUGAGCAAAUGUUCUAGCAGAACCAAGUGGGUCUCUCCACCUCAUGUGCCAAUUACUUUAUAAACACACUGUAAGCUCUUUCACAAAGAAAAGAAGAACCUUGUUAGUGUUGUGAUGACCAAUUCAGUUGGAUAACAGUGGAAGGAUAGGGAGGAAAAGGAGAAAAUGUGGUAUUGGGAGGGAAAAGUGUGCGCCGACUGCCUCAGGCCCACAGUAAUGUUCACUAGAUCAUUGUUAAAUCCUUUGACAGAAGACUAAGUGUAGGCAGUCCACGGAGCCCAGAGCUAAAUUCUAAAUCAUAAUGGAUCAGGACAGACAUGUGCAAAGUCUUGAGGAUCUGAGGCUAGCAAGGCUUACCUGUAACCUGAUUGAAGGUAUUAAAACAGCUAAAGAAAGAAUUUGUCAAUCAGAAGGAGGAUUAGCAGGUAGCAAUAGAAGCGCAGACAAAAUGACAGAGAGAAAGUUUGAGACUUUUCAAGUGCCUAAUGUGAAUGGACAGUCUAAUAUUUUAAAUUUUCAACAAGAAAAUAAAAAAUUGAUGUAUAAAAAUCAGCUAUUUUUUAAAAACAACAUGUUAACAUCCAGUGGUGUAAUGCACAGUGAAUUUGGAUGCAUAACUAGGCUUCACUACGGCCUAGAUGUAAUUUCAGGGUGCAAGCCGCAUCAACUAGUGCAGUUCCCAUUAUGUGGUUAUUUGUCUGGGACCGAGUUCUGAAGUUAUUUCCAUGGGGCUCUUUCAGAUUGCUGAGCUCUCCACCCAGGCCCCUUGUGUGUUCCUGACGCAUCAACCCUCC
Molecule: long non-coding RNA, 1786 nt
Filed under: Equus caballus (horse)
Lineage: Eukaryota; Metazoa; Chordata; Mammalia; Perissodactyla; Equidae
Description: lncRNA (ENSECAG00000053174.1)
Source: RNAcentral